This 320-nucleotide ribosomal RNA is filed under the name Trionymus idahoensis. RNAcentral describes it as "partial 28S large subunit ribosomal RNA". Lineage: Eukaryota; Metazoa; Arthropoda; Insecta; Hemiptera; Pseudococcidae. The record is from RNAcentral.
AACCCGUUCGGGGGUAAACGGACAGAGCCCGUGAAUCCGGGCGACGGAAUUCAGAAUCGACGGCGUUCGCGCGUCGUCGGUUCGAUAUUUCCGCCGCCGUCAAUUUUAACGGACGUCGCGACCCGUUCGGCGUCGGUCCGCAGGAGACGUGCGAAAGUUCGUGAGCGUCGGCUGGGUUUCGGCUCGGUCGGCGUUCGCGAGUGCGCGUUCAUUUUUCUGGCCGACUCGCCGGACGGUAGGCGAAGCGGUGGUCGCGGCGGCCUCGUUUACGAGCGCCGUCGCGUUACCGGUCUGCGACGAAUCUUCGGGCCUCUUUCCGA